Molecule: ribosomal RNA, 467 nt
Filed under: uncultured bacterium
Lineage: Bacteria
Description: partial 16S ribosomal RNA
Rfam family: Bacterial small subunit ribosomal RNA
Source: RNAcentral
GACGAACGCUGGCGGCGUGCUUAACACAUGCAAGUCGAACGGAAAGGCCCUGCUUUUGUGGGGUGCUCGAGUGGCGAACGGGUGAGUAACACGUGAGUAACCUGCCCUUGACUUUGGGAUAACUUCAGGAAACUGGGGCUAAUACCGGAUAGGAGCUCCUGCUGCAUGGUGGGGGUUGGAAAGUUUCGGCGGUUGGGGACGGACUCGCGGCUUAUCAGCUUGUUGGUGGGGUAGUGGCUUACCAAGGCUUUGACGGGUAGCCGGCCUGAGAGGGUGACCGGCCACAUUGGGACUGAGAUACGGCCCAGACUCCUACGGGAGGCAGCAGUGGGGAAUAUUGCACAAUGGGCGGAAGCCUGAUGCAGCAACGCCGCGUGCGGGAUGACGGCCUUCGGGUUGUAAACCGCUUUCGCCUGUGACGAAGCGUGAGGGACGGUAAUGGGUAAAGAAGCACCGGCUAACUACGU